GACGUAGGAGGCGAGCGUUGUCCGGAGUUACUGGGCGUAAAGCGCGCGCAGGCGGCCCUGUGCGCUGCCGGUGAAAGCUCCCGGCUUACCUGGGAGAGGUUCGGCAGGACGGCAGGGCUGGAGGGUGGGAGAGGUCGGUGGAAUUCCCGGUGUAGUGGUGAAAUGCGUAGAUAUCGGGAGGAACACCAGUGGCGAAGGCGACUACCUGGCCUGUUCUUGACGCUGAGGCGCGAAAGCUAGGGGAGCAAACGGG
Molecule: ribosomal RNA, 253 nt
Filed under: uncultured bacterium
Lineage: Bacteria
Description: partial 16S ribosomal RNA
Rfam family: Bacterial small subunit ribosomal RNA
Source: RNAcentral